CAGGGCUUCCUCUGCAGGAGACAAAAAACAGCCCAUAGAAUGUCAGAUUCAGAGCACGUGGACUACUGGGCUCCCCCAUGGAGCAAGGAAUAAACAUCCUCCAAAAGGCCUUGAGCACCUGCCACCUUCACCCUUACUGAGCCAAAGUCCCAGUACCCCAUGAAGGGUAUGCAACCCCCCUGCAACUUCUCCAGUGCAGCCCACCGGUGCAAUAUGGGUAGCCUGCAAGCUGCGGUGAUCACCAUCCCGGCCCUGCUCUCCUCAUCCACUCUGCUGGUUGUCAGCUGCAUCGUAUGGAAGACGUACCGCCGGUGGUCGAGGGUCACCUGGCCCAGCCCUCCGUCCCCAUGAGGGGCUCAGAUGCCUAGGAGCCUGCUGGAAGGAAGGAGUAAAAGGAUAGUCCAGCGCGAAGAAGAGGAGGCGAGAACGAUUCCCGGACCGACCAAAGCUCGCGCGUCGCUGCAUCCCCGCGUACAGCGCCUACGUCCCGCCGCCACUGCCACCAUGCCCAAGAGAAAGGCUGAAGGGGAAGCUAAAGGAGAUAAAGCCAAGGCCAAGGACGAGCCACAGAGAAGAUCCGCAAGGUUGUCUGCUAAACCUGCUCCUCCAAAGCCAGAGCCCAAGCCUAAAAAGGCCCCUGCAAAGAAGGGAGAGAAGGUACCCAAAGGGAAAAAGGGAAAAGCUGACGCUGGCAAGGAGGGGAAUAUCCUGAAGAAAACGGAGAUGCCAACACAGACCAGGCACAGAAAGCUGCAGGUGCUGGAGAUGCCAAGUGAAGUGUGUGCAUUUGUGAUAACUGUGUACUUCUGGUGACUGUACAGUUUGAAAUACUAUUUUUUAUCAAGUUUUAUAAAAAUGCAGAAUUUUGUUUUACUUUUUUUUUUUUUAAGCUAUGUUGUUAGCACACAGAACACUUCAUUGUUUGGGGGGAAAGGGGCAUAUGUCACUAAUAGAAUGUCUCCAAAGCUAGAUUGAUGAGGGAAAAUGUUUUUUCCCUCUAGUUUUGAGACUUCCUCUUGGCUCCCAAGAGGAGGGAUUCCCUGAUGUUGACACACAGCUACCUUGGCACAAAUGCCUUGUGGCAUGGAAAAACUAAUUUGUUUUUAUGUCCUAUUCUCCCUCAGUCUUCAGCAUAGUCUUAACUCCCUUAAACCCAGUCACCUCUUGGGACCUGACCCCCAAUAAUUGGUUACCAGUAUAUCAAGGAAUCUGGACUUUUUCAGUAAUACCAUUGAGAUGGCAUCCCUCAAAAGAGCAGCGGUUCCCUUUGUAGAUUGUUGGAUCUUCAGAUAAAUUCUGCCAUUUUCAUUCCAUUUCCUGAAAGUCCGGGUCAGCUUGUGAAAAGUUGUUAAACAACAUGCUAAAUGUGAAAUGUCAACCCUCACUCUAAACUUCCCUGUUCAGAGCAUCAAAUGAAGACUUCAUUGGGUUUUAUAGUGGCUUUCUGAUUUUUGGUAGAACAUUGAAGAAGGGAGUUUGAAAGUUGUUGUAUACUGUUAACGAUCGUCUGCCCAUGUCCUGCCUGAAAUACCAUGAUUGUUUAUGAAAAGUAUCUUUAAUAAAGCUGGAUACAGUUUGGCUUGGAAAAAAAA
This is an RNA transcript of Nycticebus coucang (slow loris), 1592 nucleotides long. It is a transcript of the gene named non-histone chromosomal protein HMG-17-like, with no coding region annotated. NCBI's taxonomy places the organism in Eukaryota, Metazoa, Chordata, Mammalia, Primates, Lorisidae. The transcript is spliced from 4 exons. The record is from RefSeq and is a predicted model, not a curated record.